UGGGGAAUAUUGGACAAUGGACCAAGAGUCUGAUCCAGCAAUUCUGUGUGCACGAUGAAGUUUUUCGGAAUGUAAAGUGCUUUCAGUUAGGAAGAAAAAAAUGACGGUACCAACAGAAGAAGUGACGGCUAAAUACGUGCCAGCAGCCGCGGUAAUACGUAUGUCACGAGCGUUAUCCGGAUUUAUUGGGCAUAAAGCGCGUCUAGGUGGUUAUAUAAGUCUGAUGUGAAAAUGCAGGGCUCAACUCUGUAUUGCGUUGGAAACUGUAUAACUAGAGUACUGGAGAGGUAAGCGGAACUACAAGUGUAGAGGUGAAAUUCGUAGAUAUUUGUAGGAAUGCCGAUGGGGAAGCCAGCUUACUGGACAGAUACUGACGCUGAAGCGCGAAAGCGUGGGUAGCAAACAGGAUUAGAUACCCUGGUAGUCCACGCCGUAACGAUGAUUACUAGGUGUUGGGGGUCAAACCCCAGCGCCCAAGCAAAUGCGAUAAGUAAUCCGCCUGGGGAGUACGUACGCAAGUAUG
Molecule: ribosomal RNA, 523 nt
Filed under: uncultured bacterium
Lineage: Bacteria
Description: bacterial SSU rRNA
Rfam family: Bacterial small subunit ribosomal RNA
Source: RNAcentral